Long non-coding RNA from Canis lupus familiaris (dog), 1761 nucleotides. RefSeq lists it as uncharacterized. The record is from RefSeq and is a predicted model, not a curated record. NCBI's taxonomy places the organism in Eukaryota, Metazoa, Chordata, Mammalia, Carnivora, Canidae. The transcript is spliced from 4 exons.
CUAAGCGUUUUCUUUAUUUAGAUUCUUUUAAAUCUUUCAUGAAGCACACACAAUAGGUUUAUAUCUCAGAUCAGAUCAUAGAGGUAAAUAAAAUAUUCAGUUACUUUCAAGAGUCAAAUUUUGUAUAAUACGGGAUAGCUUAAAAGGGAGUUAUUUCUAGUAUUUUCAUGCACGCUGCAUGAGCAUGUUAUCUGGGUCGGUUGGUGGACCAGUGGUGGUGGGGGGAGCUAACAUUUAGCUGCGAAAGACUGAUGGCAUUUUGCCAAAGUCCCAGGAAGGUUCGUGAUGACAAUUAUUCCCCUACCAUAGCACACACUGUUCUUCCGCAGACCACCAGUGACUCGACCCAGGCUGAUAAGCAAUGCUUUGUAUUCUUGAUGUGAUUUCAUGGACAAAGCUCCAUGAUGUUGUAUCAAGAUGUUCUGAAGAAGUCCUUGACUUUGGACAUUAGAAUGUCAAGUAGAACAGCAGCUCUCUCAGCUGGGUAGGUACCACUCCCCGUCAGAACUGCGCUGGUGCCUCAUAGGUCUGACCAUUCCCCACAUGCGUCUUUGCUUCUGGAGCUCUGAAAACUUCACUGCAUUCCCCAAAUGCCAGCUUCAAGAGACGUAAGAAACACAGAAUCUUUAUCAACCUAAUCUCUGCUUGUGAUGUCUGGCUUUCUGGCACUUUCUUCCUCUGCUGAAUCGUAACAAUGUUGCCAGGGAAACAAUUGGAACCCUCUCCCCAGUGACUGCCGUCGCUAAUACGAUGUGCCAAGUCUGCCCCGACUGUCCAGUUGAGACGUGGCUGGGGACGUUACCACCACCGUAAUUAUGGAGUCCACCCACCACUGCAGGGCCAAUAGAACAUCAAGUUUGGGAUUCUAUCGUGUGUAGUUUUUAUUGCCUUGUAAUACCAAAGUUUCGACUCAGAGAAGAAGCAUUAUAUGGAAACUUAGGCCGCACCGGAGAGGGCAGAUCAGGAUCCACACACCUGUGGCAGAGAGGAUCAAAGGGCCAAGAGGCCAAAGCCUUUCAGCUCUUGGGGCUUCAUGGCUACCUGGCAGUAACCUUCAGGACUGAAGAGUCACUUCACCAGCUUCCUCCAGGAUAGCUGACCUGGAUCCUGCAGAAGAGUCCUGGCUUUUGUGCCUGCCACGAGUCUAAUGGAGUCCCAGAUGAACCAUGCCAAUGCCUGAGCACUUGUAACAAAACAAGGGGAGAUUAAGAGGGAUGAAGUCAUCUGUGGAGGCAAGGAGCAAUUAACCACAUGAAGAAGGUGAAACAUCCUCAAUGAUAAGCCUCAGCAGCAAUUUACUCAGUGUUCUGUGUAUCUGCGAUCUGCACCAUGGCCUGCCUGAACUCACAUGGAAAAUUGAUGGCUCUGAACGACAAUUGUUGUAGUUGAGCUUCGCUGAUGGCACUUUUUAAAAACAGCAGUGGAAAAAAAUAACCGGGCACCAGUCAGAUGUGAUUUUUGGCAGACACUUCACCCAAGCUGCUCAGGGUAUCCCCAGAAAUUAUAAACCCUCAAAGGUGUUCAGGGUGGAGUAAAUAGAGCAAGACACAAUUAUUUGAAUGUUCAUCCUCUGGAUGCAGUUCUCCUCUCCUCAAGUCUGUAGUAACAAGGAUAUCCAUCUAAGUGAAAGGUCAGCUUUGAAGUAAGUAUAAAGUUAUUUACAGGAAAUGAAGCAGAAAGCAGGCUUUCACGCAUUUUGAAAUGUCUCUAUUAUUUAGGAGAAAAUGAACUGUGUCAUCAGUCCAAAGAAAAACAAAUGCC